GAUGAACGCUGGCGGCGUGCCUAAUACAUGCAAGUCGAGCGAACGGACGAGAAGCUUGCUUCUCUGAUGUUAGCGGCGGACGGGGGAGUAACACGUGGAUAACCUACCUAUAAGACUGGGAUAACUUCGGGAAACCGUAGCUAAUACCGGAUAAUAUUUUGAACCGCAUGGUUCAAAAGUGAAAGACGGUCUUGCUGUCACUUAUAGAUGGAUCCGCGCUGCAUUAGCUAGUUGGUAAGGUAACGGCCUACCAAGGCGACGAUGCCUAGCUGACCUGAGAGGAUGAACGGCCCCACUGGAACUGAGACAAGGUCCAGACUCAUACGGGAGGCAGCAGUGGGGAAUAUUGGACAAUGGGCGCAAGCCUGAUCCAGCAAUACCGCGUGGGUGAAGAAGGCCUUCGGGUUGUAAAGCACUUUUGUUGGGAAAGAAAAGCAGCAGGUUAAUAACCCGCUGUUAUGACGGUACCCAAAGAAUAAGCACCGGCUAACUUCGUG
RNAcentral lists this ribosomal RNA (497 nucleotides) under uncultured bacterium. RNAcentral's name for it is "partial 16S ribosomal RNA". It matches the Rfam family "Bacterial small subunit ribosomal RNA", at positions 28 to 507 of the family's 1533-position model. The record is from RNAcentral.